ACUAUUAACCACUCUGUUAAUGCGGUAGGGGAUCCGAGACUCCUUUCGGGGUUACACUCAACUUCUAUUCCGUCACGUCCUCGUCGUACAGAGUGGUAACUUUCCCCACCACAUAUCCAAGCUUGGGUACACGGGCCUGUCCCAACCUCUUGGGCGGAUGGUGGAGAAAGGCUAAACAGGAGGGG
This 185-nucleotide ribozyme is filed under the name Anopheles stephensi (Asian malaria mosquito). Its description in RNAcentral is "drz-agam-2-2 ribozyme". It matches the Rfam family "drz-agam-2-2 ribozyme". The record is from Rfam by way of RNAcentral. Lineage: Eukaryota; Metazoa; Arthropoda; Insecta; Diptera; Culicidae.